UACAGAGGCCUCGAGCGUUAGGCGGAAUCACUGGGCUUAAAGCGUGUGUAGGCGGACUUCUAAGUACCUUGUGAAAUCCCACGGCUUACCCGUGGAACUGCUGGGUAUACUGGUUGUCUUGAGCUUUCUAGGGGCGAGCGGAACAAAUGGUGGAGCGGUGAAAUGCGUAGAUAUCAUUUGGAACGCCAAUGGUGAAAACAGCUCGCUGGGGAAAUGCUGACGCUGAGACACGAAAGCCAGGGGAGCGAACGGG
This 253-nucleotide ribosomal RNA is filed under the name uncultured bacterium. RNAcentral describes it as "partial 16S ribosomal RNA". It matches the Rfam family "Bacterial small subunit ribosomal RNA", at positions 524 to 776 of the family's 1533-position model. The record is from RNAcentral.